GACGAACGCUGGCGGCGUGCUUAACACAUGCAAGUCGAACGGUAAGGCCCUUCGGGGUACACGAGUGGCGGACGGGUGGGUAACACGUGGGUGAUCUGCCCUACACUUCGGGAUAAGCCUGGGAAACUGGGUCUAAUACCGGAUAGGACCCUGGGAUGCAUGUCCUGGGGUGGAAAGCUUUUGCGGUGUGGGAUGGGCCCGCGGCCUAUCAGCUUGCUGGUGGGGUGAUGGCCUACCAGGGCGACGACGGGUAGCCGGCCUGGGAGGGUGACCAGCCACACUGGGACUGAGAUACGGCCCAGACUCCUACGGGAGGCAGCAGUGGGGAAUAUUGCACAAUGGGCGCAAGCCUGGUGCAGCGACGCCGCGUGAGGGAUGACGGCCUUCGGGUUGUAAACCUCUUUCAGCACCGACGAAGCGCAAGUGACGGUAGGUGCAGAAGAAGGACCGGCCAACUACGUGCCAGCCGCCGCAGUAA
Molecule: ribosomal RNA, 478 nt
Filed under: uncultured bacterium
Lineage: Bacteria
Description: partial 16S ribosomal RNA
Rfam family: Bacterial small subunit ribosomal RNA
Source: RNAcentral